CGGCGAGCUUCAUUGAAGGGGGAGCGCGGCGGGCGGCGAGGCGCUGGGAGUCGUGGGGAAGCUGAGGAUCAUGCCACGGAGGUCACAGGGCGCGAUGCCUGCAGCGACGCAGCCCCAGGAGAGCCCUGGGACUCCCUGCACAUUUUAGCCCCGCAGUGCGAGGUAUACGUGUGCGUGGGCCCGGCGGAGGGCACAGAGUGCUCUCCUCCGAAGACCUGCUUUGCCGUGGACGUGGUGGCAUCCCGCGUCGCUCGCGCCUCCCCCAGUAACGGCCUUCUCCCCGUCCCAGAGCGCCGUCCUGCCAGCCAGAAGCCUGAGGAGAGCUGGCCAAAGCACCGAAAAACUGACCCUCCCUGGGCAUCCACCCUGCCGCGCGCCCCCGCUGUCUCCCCGCCGGCCCGCAGCGACCUGCUGGGUGGCGGCGGGCACCUCUCUG
Molecule: long non-coding RNA, 436 nt
Filed under: Serinus canaria (Common canary)
Lineage: Eukaryota; Metazoa; Chordata; Aves; Passeriformes; Fringillidae
Description: lncRNA (ENSSCAG00000004261.1)
Source: RNAcentral